CCCUUAGAUGUUCUGGGCUGCACGCGCGCUACACUGAAGCUAUCAACACGUUUUCCCUCCCUGAGAAGGGCGGGUAACCUUUUGAAUCAGCUUCGUGGUAGGGAUCGGGGCUUGCAAUUGUUCCCCGUGAACCAGGAAUUCCUAGUAGACGUAGUUCAUCAGACUGCAUCGAUUACGUCCCUGCCCUUUGUACACACCGCCCGUCGCUCCUACCGAUUGAAUGCUCAGGUGAGCCAUUCGGACUUUCAUCAUGCUGGUUUCCAGUUUUGAUGAAGGAAAGUCUUGCGAACCUUAUCAUUUAGAGGAAGGAGAAGUCGUAACA
RNAcentral lists this ribosomal RNA (322 nucleotides) under uncultured eukaryote. RNAcentral describes it as "partial 18S ribosomal RNA". It matches the Rfam family "Eukaryotic small subunit ribosomal RNA", at positions 1470 to 1796 of the family's 1831-position model. The record is from RNAcentral.